UGUACUCUCACACUCCCAAUACUUUUGGAUUGGGAGCGGUGGACUUGGGUGUUGCUGCUUUACUGUGGCUCACCUCAAAUGGAGUAGUGCAACUCUCGGUUGGACAUAGUACGGCGUGAUAAGUGUCUUCGCCGGCGCCUCAUUAGAGGGUGGCCGAUCGGGAGCUCUGUGCUUCAAACCGUCUUCGGACAACAUCUGACA
This 201-nucleotide unclassified non-coding RNA is filed under the name uncultured Sebacina. RNAcentral's name for it is "sequence contains ITS2". Lineage: Eukaryota; Fungi; Basidiomycota; Agaricomycetes; Sebacinales; Sebacinaceae. The record is from RNAcentral.